GAUGAACGCUGGCGGCGUGCCUAAUACAUGCAAGUCGAGCGAACGGACGAGAAGCUUGCUUCUCUGAUGUUAGCGGCGGACGGGUGAGUAACACGUGGAUAACCUACCUAUAAGACUGGGAUAACUUCGGGAAACCGGAGCUAAUACCGGAUGAUAUUUUGAACCGCAUGGUUCAAAAGUGAAAGACGGUCUUGCUGUCACUUAUAGAUGGAUCCGCGCUGCAUUAGCUAGUUGGUAAGGUAACGGCUUACCAAGGCAACGAUGCAUAGCCGACCUGAGAGGGUGAUCGGCCACACUGGGACUGAGAUACGGCCCAGACUCCUACGGGAGGCAGCAGUGGGGAAUAGUGCACAAUGGGCGGAAGCCUGAUGCAGCAACGCCGCGUGCGGGAUGACGGCCUUCGGGUUGUAAACCGCUUUCGCCUGUGACGAAGCGUGAGUGACGGUAAUGGGUAAAGAAGCACCGGCUAACUACGUG
RNAcentral lists this ribosomal RNA (477 nucleotides) under uncultured bacterium. RNAcentral's name for it is "partial 16S ribosomal RNA". It matches the Rfam family "Bacterial small subunit ribosomal RNA", at positions 28 to 507 of the family's 1533-position model. The record is from RNAcentral.